AGGAAAGGCCGGGCSCCGCGGACUGCGGGUGAGUAAACGCGUGGUUCCUCURUAGCCCUUUUCUACGGAAUAGUCUCGGGAAACUGGGGGUAAUACCGUAUACGCCCUUCGGGGGAAAGAUUUAUCGGAGAAGGAUCGGCCCGCGUUGGAUUAGGUAGUUGGUGGGGUAAUGGCCUACCAAGCCGACGAUCCAUAGCUGGUUUGAGAAGAUGAUCAGCCACACUGGGACUGAGACACGGCCCAGACUCCUACGGGAGGCAGCAGUGGGGAAUCUUAGACAAUGGGCGCAAGCCUGAUCUAGCCAUGCCGCGUGAGCGAUGAAGGCCUUAGGGUUGUAAAGCUCUUUCAGGGGGGAAGAUAAUGACUGUACCCCCAGAAGAAGCCCCGGCUAACUCCGUGCCAGCAGCCGCGGUAAUACGGAGGGGGCUAGCGUUGUUCGGAAUUACUGGGCGUAAAGCGCACGUAGGCGGACUGGAAAGUUGGGGGUGAAAUCCCGGGGCUCAACCCCGGAACUGCCUUCAAAACUUCCGGUCUUGAGGUCGAGAGAGGUGAGUGGAAUUCCGAGUGUAGAGGUGAAAUUCGUAGAUAUUCGGAGGAACACCAGUGGCGAAGGCGGCUCACUGGCUCGAUACUGACGCUGAGGUGCGAAAGCGUGGGGGAGCAAACAGGAUUAGAUACCCCUGGUAGUCCACGCCCGUAAACGAUGAAUGCCAGACGUCGGGCAGCAUGCUGUUCGGUGUCACACCCUAACGGGAUUAGSCAUUCCGCCUGGGGAAGUACGGGCCGCAAGGGUUAAAACUCAMAGGGAAUUGACGGGGGGCUCGCAMCAAGGCGGUGGGAGC
Molecule: ribosomal RNA, 842 nt
Filed under: uncultured Chloroflexota bacterium
Lineage: Bacteria; Bacillati; Chloroflexota
Description: bacterial SSU rRNA
Rfam family: Bacterial small subunit ribosomal RNA
Source: RNAcentral